UUAUAUUUAAUUAAAUAUACUUAAAAAUAAAAAAUCCAAACCCAAAUCCCUCUCUCUCUCAUCUCUCCCUCUCUCUCGUAACCCCUUCCCCCUCCUUCUCAUCCCACCCGCUCAAAACCCAGAUCCCAACUCAACCCCCUUAAAACCAAUGAGAGAAAGCCAAAGAACGUACUCUACCUUGCCCUCCACAGUCCUGACGUUAAGACAGAUUGAAGUUGUCUACUUGGGAUUUUGGGUUUGGUACAUUAUGUGAAAUAGAGUGUUGUGUUUUGUAUCUUCUUCUUGACCAGAAAAGCAUCUCCUUAAGGUACCCAAACUAAGGUUUUCGGCAAAGAAGUUUUUGCAGGUCGGGUUGGGAUAUGGGUUUUGAAGGAGGAGGGAGGAAUAGGUUGCGGGAGAGAGAGGGAGAGACAAAGAGGGAGACUGAUGAACACAAAUGAAAGCAAAAGUAAAGGUGAAAACCAUGGGAAGAGGCCAAGAGAUUGUGAAAUUAAGAAGUUUCCUUGAAGAAGAGAAUUGUUGGGUAGGGUAAGUUUCUCUCUCGCUACUUUUUUUGUUUUUUGUUUUUUUGUCUUUCUGAAAUUCCAGAACGUUGGAAUUUUCUGCACAAAGUCUCCUCUAACAAAUGGCUUUCCAAAAUAGUCAGAUUCUUGAGAUGGGUUUGUUGGGUCAAUGAUGGAAGGAGAAGGUGGAGUUGAGGUCAAUGCUGGAUGAAGAACCCAAAAGGACGUUUUUACCCCCUUAUUUUGACAGACAAAUUGACAUAGUUGGAUGGCAAGAACCAAUUAGAACUAUUUAUCGAGUUAACGGAUGUAAUUGUCUCUAAAAAAAAAUUCAGGAAUCUAAUUGCAAAUGGAGGUCAAGUUCAGAAACGUCUACAGUAAAUAACCAUUUUAUUUUAUUUUUAUCUAAGUUUAAUGUUUGUGAAUUUCAAGCACAUUGGCUGAGAGUCGUGCAAACCGCUUCGGACAAUAGACUACGUCACGAACCUGAAUAUUUUAUAAUAUUUUUUUUAUUUAAAAAAAAAAAACAAUGAGUGAGUGCGAUUAAUCACUCCUUCCCCUCCAUGGGAGUUUCACUUUGCUGAUACAACUGGAUAUUCAUGCAAAUAAGGCAGUGAUGGUUGGGGACCACCUGGAUCCAGGCCCAAUGGUUGAGGAAACAGCAAAGGCAAAAGUGUGGAAGUUGGGGGAAUGUGGCUCAAGGAGGUCAAAAAGCGAUAAAGGUAGUUUUCUUCAACAAUAUUCUUUAAUUUAGUUGAUUUUUAAUAUUUUAUUAUUUCUCUCUCAUCCUCUCUAAAUUAAGUUCAUUAAAAAAAAUUAAAAAGUAAGAGGUAAGAGAGGGUUGUGUGCCUAGGGAGAGAGAACAGGAAGAA
Molecule: long non-coding RNA, 1375 nt
Filed under: Prunus dulcis (almond)
Lineage: Eukaryota; Viridiplantae; Streptophyta; Magnoliopsida; Rosales; Rosaceae
Description: sRNA ncRNA
Source: RNAcentral